RNAcentral lists this transfer RNA (357 nucleotides) under Microcystis sp. BG22. RNAcentral's name for it is "16S-23S ribosomal RNA intergenic spacer". The stretch from base 133 to 206 matches the Rfam family "tRNA". Lineage: Bacteria; Bacillati; Cyanobacteriota; Cyanophyceae; Chroococcales; Microcystaceae. The record is from RNAcentral.
AAGGGAGACCUAAUUCGGGUAUAAGACGAAAAAAUAGUAGUCGAAACCAAGAAUCAAUCCCAAAAGGUCGGAACGAGGUAUGAGGCUUUCAAACUAGGUUCUGGGUUCAUAAAAGACCUGAAUCAGGAACAAGGGCUAUUAGCUCAGGUGGUUAGAGCGCACCCCUGAUAAGGGUGAGGUCCCUGGUUCGAGUCCAGGAUGGCCCACCUGCACAGGUGGCAAAAACAAAAGAAGCGAGGAAUCAGCACCUUAUCUUACCUAUAUAGUAAGAGAGAAUGCUGGCUCUGAGUAAAGAGUCCAGAGGAACCUUGAAAACUGCAUAGAGCUAGGUGAAAAAGCCAAAAAAGAAGACCGCAA